GAUGUCUCGAGAGGGAGACAAAAGGCUUAGCGUGAUCAGCCGAGCAGCCAACCCAUGCCAAAAAAAUGGGCGGGAUCACUGAUUUGUAGACGGGGCUAGAGCGGGCUGUGCCCUCCAAUUAAAUUGCGUCUAAAAACCAAAUCGCAAUUGGGAAGAAUAAGCAAGAAAAAGAAACCUAAUGGCAUUCAGCGUUUCUUGCAUCUGCAGUUCUUUAUGAACAUGUCCGACGCAAAAUUAAACGAUUAAAAUGCUUAUUCGCCCCGGAGCACUAGCAAGGAAUGCAUUCACCACUUCAUGUGCAAAGGUGCUCAUUGCAACUGCUACUGGGACCUUGGUGCUGUUUUUCAUGGAAAAUGCAGCUACGAUAAAGAGGGACUCAAAUAAAGCGUGAAAUAAACGUUUUCA
Ixodes scapularis (black-legged tick) is the source of this 405-nucleotide long non-coding RNA. RefSeq lists it as uncharacterized. Lineage: Eukaryota; Metazoa; Arthropoda; Arachnida; Ixodida; Ixodidae. The transcript is spliced from 3 exons. The record is from RefSeq and is a predicted model, not a curated record.